UACGUAGGGGGCAAGCGUUGUCCGGAUUUAUUGGGCGUAAAGAGCGUGUAGGCGGCCAAGCAGGUCAGCUGUGAAACUCGAGGCUCAACCUCGAGACGUCGGUUGAAACCGCUUGGCUAGAGUCCGGAAGAGGAGAGUGGAAUUCCCGGUGUAGCGGUGAAAUGCGCAGAUAUCGGGAAGAACACCCGUGGCGAAGGCGGCUCUCUGGGACGGUACUGACGCUGAGACGCGAAAGCGUGGGGAGCGAACAGG
Molecule: ribosomal RNA, 252 nt
Filed under: uncultured bacterium
Lineage: Bacteria
Description: partial 16S ribosomal RNA
Rfam family: Bacterial small subunit ribosomal RNA
Source: RNAcentral